This 90-nucleotide ribosomal RNA is filed under the name Brochothrix campestris FSL F6-1037. RNAcentral's name for it is "partial 16S ribosomal RNA". It matches the Rfam family "Bacterial small subunit ribosomal RNA", at positions 1 to 88 of the family's 1533-position model. The record is from RNAcentral. Lineage: Bacteria; Bacillati; Bacillota; Bacilli; Caryophanales; Listeriaceae.
UUAACGAGAGUUUGAUCCUGGCUCAGGACGAACGCUGGCGGCGUGCCUAAUACAUGCAAGUCGAACGAACGGAUAAGGAGCUUGCUCCUU